GGUUAAGCGACUAAGCGUACACGGUGGAUGCCCUGGCAGUCAGAGGCGAUGAAGGACGUGCUAAUCUGCGAUAAGCGUCGGUGAGGUGAUAUGAACCGUUAUAACCGGCGAUUUCCGAAUGGGGAAACCCAGUGUGUUUCGACACACUAUCAUUAACUGAAUCCAUAGGUUAAUGAGGCGAACCGGGGGAACUGAAACAUCUAAGUACCCCGAGGAAAAGAAAUCAACCGAGAUUCCCCCAGUAGCGGCGAGCGAACGGGGAGGAGCCCAGAGCCUGAAUCAGUGUGUGUGUUAGUGGAAGCGUCUGGAAAGGCGCGCGAUACAGGGUGACAGCCCCGUACACAAAAAUGCACAUAUUGUGAGCUCGAUGAGUAGGGCGGGACACGUGGUAUCCUGUCUGAAUAUGGGGGGACCAUCCUCCAAGGCUAAAUACUCCUGACUGACCGAUAGUGAACCAGUACCGUGAGGGAAAGGCGAAAAGAACCCCGGCGAGGGGAGUGAAAAAGAACCUGAAACCGUGUACGUACAAGCAGUGGGAGCCUCUUUAUGGGGUGACUGCGUACCUUUUGUAUAAUGGGUCAGCGACUUAUAUUCUGUAGCAAGGUUAACCGAAUAGGGGAGCCGAAGGGAAACCGAGUCUUAACUGGGCGUUAAGUUGCAGGGUAUAGACCCGAAACCCGGUGAUCUAGCCAUGGGCAGGUUGAAGGUUGGGUAACACUAACUGGAGGACCGAACCGACUAAUGUUGAAAAAUUAGCGGAUGACUUGUGGCUGGGGGUGAAAGGCCAAUCAAACCGGGAGAUAGCUGGUUCUCCCCGAAAGCUAUUUAGGUAGCGCCUCGUGAAUUCAUCUCCGGGGGUAGAGCACUGUUUCGGCAAGGGGGUCAUCCCGACUUACCAACCCGAUGCAAACUGCGAAUACCGGAGAAUGUUAUCACGGGAGACACACGGCGGGUGCUAACGUCCGUCGUGAAGAGGGAAACAACCCAGACCGCCAGCUAAGGUCCCAAAGUCAUGGUUAAGUGGGAAACGAUGUGGGAAGGCCCAGACAGCCAGGAUGUUGGCUUAGAAGCAGCCAUCAUUUAAAGAAAGCGUAAUAGCUCACUGGUCGAGUCGGCCUGCGCGGAAGAUGUAACGGGGCUAAACCAUGCACCGAAGCUGCGGCAGCGACACUAUGUGUUGUUGGGUAGGGGAGCGUUCUGUAAGCCUGUGAAGGUGGCCUGUGAGGGUUGCUGGAGGUAUCAGAAGUGCGAAUGCUGACAUAAGUAACGAUAAAGCGGGUGAAAAGCCCGCUCGCCGGAAGACCAAGGGUUCCUGUCCAACGUUAAUCGGGGCAGGGUGAGUCGACCCCUAAGGCGAGGCCGAAAGGCGUAGUCGAUGGGAAACAGGUUAAUAUUCCUGUACUUGGUGUUACUGCGAAGGGGGGACGGAGAAGGCUAUGUUGGCCGGGCGACGGUUGUCCCGGUUUAAGCGUGUAGGCUGGUUUUCCAGGCAAAUCCGGAAAACCAAGGCUGAGGCGUGAUGACGAGGCACUACGGUGCUGAAGCGACAAAUGCCCUGCUUCCAGGAAAAGCCUCUAAGCAUCAGGUAACAUCAAAUCGUACCCCAAACCGACACAGGUGGUCAGGUAGAGAAUACCAAGGCGCUUGAGAGAACUCGGGUGAAGGAACUAGGCAAAAUGGUGCCGUAACUUCGGGAGAAGGCACGCUGAUAUGUAGGUGAAGCGACUUGCUCGUGGAGCUGAAAUCAGUCGAAGAUACCAGCUGGCUGCAACUGUUUAUUAAAAACACAGCACUGUGCAAACACGAAAGUGGACGUAUACGGUGUGACGCCUGCCCGGUGCCGGAAGGUUAAUUGAUGGGGUUAGCGGUAACGCGAAGCUCUUGAUCGAAGCCCCGGUAAACGGCGGCCGUAACUAUAACGGUCCUAAGGUAGCGAAAUUCCUUGUCGGGUAAGUUCCGACCUGCACGAAUGGCGUAAUGAUGGCCAGGCUGUCUCCACCCGAGACUCAGUGAAAUUGAACUCGCUGUGAAGAUGCAGUGUACCCGCGGCAAGACGGAAAGACCCCGUGAACCUUUACUAUAGCUUGACACUGAACAUUGAGCCUUGAUGUGUAGGAUAGGUGGGAGGCUUUGAAGUGUGGACGCCAGUCUGCAUGGAGCCGACCUUGAAAUACCACCCUUUAAUGUUUGAUGUUCUAACGUUGGCCCGUAAUCCGGGUUGCGGACAGUGUCUGGUGGGUAGUUUGACUGGGGCGGUCUCCUCCUAAAGAGUAACGGAGGAGCACGAAGGUUGGCUAAUCCUGGUCGGACAUCAGGAGGUUAGUGCAAUGGCAUAAGCCAGCUUGACUGCGAGCGUGACGGCGCGAGCAGGUGCGAAAGCAGGUCAUAGUGAUCCGGUGGUUCUGAAUGGAAGGGCCAUCGCUCAACGGAUAAAAGGUACUCCGGGGAUAACAGGCUGAUACCGCCCAAGAGUUCAUAUCGACGGCGGUGUUUGGCACCUCGAUGUCGGCUCAUCACAUCCUGGGGCUGAAGUAGGUCCCAAGGGUAUGGCUGUUCGCCAUUUAAAGUGGUACGCGAGCUGGGUUUAGAACGUCGUGAGACAGUUCGGUCCCUAUCUGCCGUGGGCGCUGGAGAACUGAGGGGGGCUGCUCCUAGUACGAGAGGACCGGAGUGGACGCAUCACUGGUGUUCGGGUUGUCAUGCCAAUGGCACUGCCCGGUAGCUAAAUGCGGAAGAGAUAAGUGCUGAAAGCAUCUAAGCACGAAACUUGCCCCG
Molecule: ribosomal RNA, 2775 nt
Filed under: Escherichia coli
Lineage: Bacteria; Pseudomonadati; Pseudomonadota; Gammaproteobacteria; Enterobacterales; Enterobacteriaceae
Description: partial 23S ribosomal RNA
Rfam family: Bacterial large subunit ribosomal RNA
Source: RNAcentral